UACGUAGGGUGCAAGCGUUGUCCGGAAUUAUUGGGCGUAAAGAGCUCGUAGGCGGUUUGUCGCGUCUGCUGUGAAAACCCGAGACUCAACCUCGGGCCUGCAGUGGGUACGGGCAGACUAGAGUGCGGUAGGGGAGAUUGGAAUUCCUGGUGUAGCGGUGGAAUGCGCAGAUAUCGAGGAGGAACACCAAUGGCGAAGGCAGAUCUCUGGGCCGUAACUGACGCUGAGGAGCGAAAGCAUGGGGAGCGAACAGG
RNAcentral lists this ribosomal RNA (254 nucleotides) under uncultured bacterium. Its description in RNAcentral is "partial 16S ribosomal RNA". It matches the Rfam family "Bacterial small subunit ribosomal RNA", at positions 524 to 776 of the family's 1533-position model. The record is from RNAcentral.